GAUGAAGAACGUAGCGAAAUGCGAUAAGUAGUGUGAAUUGCAGAAUUCAGUGAAUCAUCGAAUCUUUGAACGCACAUUGCGCCCCUUGGUAUUCCAUGGGGCAUGCCUGUUCGAGCGUCAUUUGUACCUUCAAGCUUUGCUUGGUGUUGGGUGUUUGUCUCGCCUCCGCGUGUAGACUCGCCUCAAAACAAUUGGCAGCCGGCGUAUUGAUUUCGGAGCGCAGUACAUCUCGCGCUUUGCACUCACAACGACGACGUCCAAAAGUACAUUUUUACACUCUUGACCUCGGAUCAGGUAGGGAUACCCGCUGAACUUAAGCAUAUCAAUAAGCGGAGGA
RNAcentral lists this unclassified non-coding RNA (337 nucleotides) under soil metagenome. RNAcentral describes it as "partial contains 5.8S ribosomal RNA, internal transcribed spacer 2, and large subunit ribosomal RNA". The stretch from base 1 to 120 matches the Rfam family "5.8S ribosomal RNA", at positions 35 to 154 of the family's 154-position model. The record is from RNAcentral.